CUGAGGUCUUAGAAUGAAUUAAAAGGAAUUCAUUCCUUUGCCUUAACAAUGAAAAUGUAAUGAAUGAAGAAAGUGAAUGAAGGGACAGACAAGUAAACUGGAGUAUGAAUUCCUUGUGAGUGUGCAGUAUAAGCUCUUAGAGUUCAUGUUCAUGAAUUUAAGCUGGAUUCAACAGCACUGGAUUCAACUACACUGCUUUUCUUCAGAUACAUCCUGCAGCAUUGUAAGUAUAGAACAGGUCAACAAUAAAUGUAUAGUUUCCUGAUGAGAAGGCAACAGUUGAAGGUCAUAGGUCUGCAUCUAUUUCCUAUUGAACAGCUUUGCUGGUCACAAAAGCACAGACCUCAGUUCUAUUGUUCUCAUCAUAACUCAAGUCACCACUUUCUCUUCAAAAGAUGUAAACCCAAGACUAUGGUGUUCUCCCCCAAACUCUGAACUUCACCAAGAAAUCAACUUUUGGGUUUUUGUUCCUUUGUUUUUUUCCUGGAUACUGGUUCUGAGUAUUCAGCUACGACAGGGAUUCACAAACAUCAUGGAUGGUUUUGUGGAAGACAGAGUAUAUCUGUAAUGUAUUCCUUAUAUUUCAGCCUUUAGCUGAAAUUAAGAUAUCUGUAAUACUCAGAGAAGUCCAUAGCAUGCCUCCUUCCUGCCCAAUAUAAGCAACCCCCCCCAUGAUGUAUUUAUAAUACACAAACUGGAGAGUUAGACCCCAUUGCUCUGAUAUAUUGAGAAGCAAGGUUUGUUUAUGAUACGAUAUUCCUGUUUAAGAUUUAAUAAAGACCACUAUCUGUUUUGUAUUGUCA
This 803-nucleotide long non-coding RNA is filed under the name Cricetulus griseus (Chinese hamster). RNAcentral describes it as "lncRNA (ENSCGRG00015041603.1)". Lineage: Eukaryota; Metazoa; Chordata; Mammalia; Rodentia; Cricetidae. The record is from RNAcentral.